AGAGACAUCAACAGCAAGAUCACAAUCAGUGACUGGAUGGAACACUGAAGAUCAUCCCGAAAAUGCCACGUACUCUCUUCUCACAGCAAACAGGGGGGAUCAAGGGCUAGAAGUAACCCAGAUUACAGCAACACCAACCUGCAACAUUCCCUCGGAGAGUACCAACCAAAGAAGAGAUGCAGAUGCCGUC
This is a long non-coding RNA of Scomber japonicus (chub mackerel), 190 nucleotides long. RefSeq lists it as uncharacterized. The record is from RefSeq and is a predicted model, not a curated record. NCBI's taxonomy places the organism in Eukaryota, Metazoa, Chordata, Actinopteri, Scombriformes, Scombridae. The transcript has 3 exons.